This 1415-nucleotide ribosomal RNA is filed under the name metagenome. Its description in RNAcentral is "bacterial LSU rRNA". It matches the Rfam family "Bacterial large subunit ribosomal RNA", at positions 1490 to 2925 of the family's 2925-position model. The record is from RNAcentral.
GCCGGGAAUGGAAAGCCCGGUGCAAGCGGGGUACCAGCCACUUUGGCAAAUCCGGGUGGCAAUGGGAAGCCGUGAUGCGGAGCGAAAUAAAGUAGCGAAGUCCGUGAGCCAUGCGUCAAGAAAAGCCGCUAUUGUUUAUACCGUACCCGUACCGUAAACCGACACAGGUGGAUGAGGAGAGAAUCCUAAGGCCGGCGGAAGAAGCAUUGUCAAGGAACUCGGCAAAAUGGCCCCGUAACCUAGGGAUAAGGGGUGCCUGGGAAACCAGGCCGCAGAGAAUAGGCUCAAGCAACUGUUUAGCAAAAACACAGGUCUAUGCAAAACCGAAAGGUGAGGUAUAUGGGCUGACGCCUGCCCGGUGCUGGAAGGUUAAGAGGAGAGGUUAGCGGUAACGCGAAGCUUUGAAUUUAAGCCCCAGUAAACGGCGGCCGUAACAAUAACGGUCCUAAGGUAGCGAAAUUCCUUGUCGGGUAAGUUCCGACCCGCACGAAAGGCGUAAUGAUUUGAGCGCUGUCUCGACAAUGCAUCCGGUGAAAUUGAAGUACCAGUGAAGAUGCUGGUUACCUGCGCCAGGACGGAAAGACCCCAUGGAGCUUUACUCCAGUCUGGUACUGGGACUCGGUAUUGCAUGUACAGGAUAGGUGGGAGGCUAGGAGAUGGUAACGCCAGUUGCCAUGGAGCCGCUGUUGGGAUACCACCCUUGCAGUAUUGGGUUUCUAACCAGCCGCCGUGACCCGGCGGUGGGACAAUGCCAGACGGGGAGUUUGACUGGGGCGGUCGCCUCCGAAAGGGUAUCGGAGGCGCCCAAAGGUUCCCUCAGAAUGGACGGAAACCAUUCGAAGAGUGCAAAGGCAGAAGGGAGCUUGACUGCGACACCGACGGGUGGAGCAGGUACGAAAGUAGGGCUUAGUGAUCCGGUGGUAUUAAGUGGGAAUGCCAUCGCUCAACGGAUAAAAGCUACCCUGGAUAACAGGCUUAUCACUCCCAAGAGUUCACAUCGACGGAGUGGUUUGGCACCUCGAUGUCGGCUCAUCGCAUCCUGGGGCUGUAGUAGGUCCCAAGGGUUGGGCUGUUCGCCCAUUAAAGCGGUACGCGAGCUGGGUUCAGAACGUCGUGAGACAGUUCGGUCCCUAUCCGGCGUGGGCGUAGGAUAUCUGAGAGGAGCUGUCCUUAGUACGAGAGGACCGGGAUGGACGGGCCGCUGGUGCAUCGGUUAGACUGCCAAGUCUACGGCCGAGUAGCCAAGCCCGGAAGGGAUAAACGCUGAAGGCAUCUAAGCGUGAAGCCCCCCUUAAGAUGAGAUAUCCCAUUCGUUAAGAAGUAAACCCCCUUGAAGACGACGAGGUAGAUAGGGCAGAGGUGGAAGUGCAGCAAUGCAUGGAGCUGACUGUUACUAAUCGGGUGAGGGCUUGACC